Molecule: ribosomal RNA, 468 nt
Filed under: uncultured bacterium
Lineage: Bacteria
Description: partial 16S ribosomal RNA
Rfam family: Bacterial small subunit ribosomal RNA
Source: RNAcentral
GACGAACGCUGGCGGCGUGCUUAACACAUGCAAGUCGAACGGAAAGGCCCUGCUUUUGUGGGGUGCUCGAGUGGCGAACGGGUGAGUAACACGUGAGUAACCUGCCCUUGACUUUGGGAUAACUUCAGGAAACUGGGGCUAAUACCGGAUAGGAGCUCCUGCUGCAUGGUGGGGGUUGGAAAGUUUCGGCGGUUGGGGAUGGACUCGCGGCUUAUCAGCUUGUUGGUGGGGUAGUGGCUUACCAAGGCUUUGACGGGUAGCCGGCCUGAGAGGGUGACCGGCCACAUUGGGACUGAGAUACGGCCCAGACUCCUACGGGAGGUAGCAGUGGGGAAUAUUGCACAAUGGGCGGAAGCCUGAUGCAGCAACGCCGCGUGCGGGAUGGCGGCCUACGGGUUGUAAACCGCUUUCGCCUGUGACGAAGCGUGAGUGACGGUAAUGGGUAAAGAAGCACCGGCUAACUACGUG